GCGAAGGUGGCGAAAUAGGAAGACGCAUUAACUUCAGAGGUUAAUGUCUUGAGCAAGACUUAAGGGUUCAAAUCCCUUCCUUCGCA
RNAcentral lists this transfer RNA (86 nucleotides) under Candidatus Blochmanniella vafra str. BVAF. Its description in RNAcentral is "tRNA-Leu (CAG) (tRNA-Leu-CAG-1-1)". It matches the Rfam family "tRNA". Rfam says of the family: Transfer RNA (tRNA) molecules are approximately 80 nucleotides in length. Their secondary structure includes four short double-helical elements and three loops (D, anti-codon, and T loops). The record is from RNAcentral. Lineage: Bacteria; Pseudomonadati; Pseudomonadota; Gammaproteobacteria; Enterobacterales; Enterobacteriaceae.